Molecule: non-coding RNA, 2267 nt
Organism: Paramisgurnus dabryanus
Lineage: Eukaryota; Metazoa; Chordata; Actinopteri; Cypriniformes; Cobitidae
Source: RefSeq, a predicted model, not a curated record
CUACAGUACAGUAGGUGGCGGUAUACUGUAGUAUGCUGUUCAUGUCCGCAUCGUCAUACGCGCCAGCACCCCUGAAAGACUGCAGGAACAGAAACCCCUGGAAAGAUGAGUUCCCUAUUAAAGAGAGGCUUGAUGCUGUUUACUCCACACUCUUAGGCUGAUUUUGGAUUAUUUGUCUGUGAAGACACAGUAGUUCAGUUUCUGAAUCCCAUCAAGAAUGAAGACCUGCAGGCCACCAUAUUGAGCUGCAGGGUCUGAUGUCAUAAUAUGGCGCUUUUCCAAUGUAGGGUACAACUUGGCUCGGCACAAUGCAGCUCAUACCGCUUUCAUUGCUUUUCCAGUACAGUUUAGUAUCGCUUCAGAGUGGGUGAGAUUAUAGGCAGGGGUGCACAUAAGGGUGUGUAUGCGCGAUAAGAAACAAUUCCAGCGUACCAACGUUGCUGAAAUUUUGUUACAUAGUUAGCUAAUUUACUGCAACAUAAGGGAUUUCAUAACAUCUCAAUCACUCCCCAGUGACUGGUCCCAGUAUAGGUCAUAAACCCCGCCUCCCCCAUGUUAUUUAAUGGGACUUGAGACCAAGCUGUUUUUUGUCAUUUACUGUAGGUUUUAUCAUGCUGAUGUAAAUUCAAGUGUUUGUUUUUAAAAUAAGUUUGUUUUUAGUUAGUUAGUUAAUGCUAUAAAACGGUGUUGUCACGUCAUGAUUGACAGCUGUGUAUGCACAUUCUGGGAGAGUGAGGGCGGGGCCUUGAUUUCGCGGCUUUACAUCCUGCUCACUACUGUGCAGGACUGGUCCCGAAAUUGCUACUGCGCAGACUCAAGACCCAAGAUGUCAGCGGCGACACUGGCGGCUUCAUUUUUUACCAAUGGAAGAGAGCAAGCUCUCCAGGUGCUCCUUUUAGAACCAGGACAAAAAAAGUUAUGUGCACCUCUGAUUAUAGGCUUAUUGUUACAGUUGCGUCUCCUAUACUGCCGUAACAUCAUCGUAAAUGUGAUACAAACACACACACAACAUGGAGCAACAUAGCAUAUUAAUGGAAUGUAGCCACAAAAUCAAAAUUGACAGCCACAACUACAUUUUCCACUACCUCUCUCACAUGACAGGUUCUGUACAAACACCCGUGUCAUCAGUAUCAGCUCUCCGCGGACAGAACAUUUAAGCCAUGACGCCUAUAUUUUUGGUGCGUUUUGGAUGCGGAGCCAUGCGCAAAGUUACAAAAAUGCCAUGCAGACAUAGGCAUGGUGGUGUGCUCUGCAUUUUUGUAACUUUGCACAUGACUUCACAUCCGAAACCCCAUCCCAUUACUCCUCCCCCAAAAGUGAGCUGUGCUGAACUGGGUUAUACUAUGCAGUGGAAAAGCGCCAAAAGUGUCCUACUUCGUGGCUUGAAGGAUUUAGCAGUUUCAGCGUUGGACUUGUAAUUCUGCGUGUUUGGCUUCUUUAGCACUUGCUGUUUGAAAGUCAUUGCUUGCAACAGAUUGAGCGACUGUCAUUCUACAUUUCUGUUUGCAUUGCUUUGCUUGCAUUUUGAAUCCUUCGCAAUAAUAACUAUGCAAAAAGUUUUACAUUUGAACUGUAGUUGUAGAUUUAAAUUUGUUUUUCCUUGAUAUAAUGUAUUUAUAUAGAUUUUUACAAUUAUUUAUCAUGCAGUGCUUCAUAUAUGAGAAAGACAACGCUUGAAGAACCACACAACACUCAUAUUAAUGUAUGUGUCAUAUUAAUAAAAAUAAACAAGUCUUUGCACUUCAUUUAUAUUUAAUUGAGUGAUAUGUAACUUCACAAUGGUGGAUUCUUUAACUAUUACAUGAAUAUGUGCAUUGUGAUUUCGAUUUAUUGACCAUAGUUAUGUGUUAGGAAUAGUGGAGAAAAUCAUUUACUAAAAAAGACAAAGGUGCCAGAUCUUUCAUUUACUUUAAAUGCAAUAAAAUUAUAGAACAAUUGUAAGCAGCUUUAAUGGAAUCUAUGUAAUAUAGUCAGUAAAGCAUACUAAGUAGUUUAUAAAUUAAGAAAUUCUUAAUAUUAGAUACUAUAAAUUACGAUUUUCAUUAGUAAAGCCAUAGCAAAAACAGCAUUUUUACUUUGAUGUUGCAUAAAAGGGUAACUCUUAUGGUUAAAUGUGUAUGGGUUUAUAUUAAAGCUUCGAGUGGUUUCACGUCCCCGGAAGGUCCGCCAGCGAACGUUGUCUAGCGGACCAUAUGCGGACGUCACCAGAAGGUCCGCCAGAAAACGGUUUUUAGCGGACUUUGUGCGGACGUCCCCGGAAUGUCCGC